RNAcentral lists this ribosomal RNA (302 nucleotides) under uncultured bacterium. RNAcentral describes it as "partial 16S ribosomal RNA". It matches the Rfam family "Bacterial small subunit ribosomal RNA", at positions 508 to 807 of the family's 1533-position model. The record is from RNAcentral.
GCAGCCGCCGCGGGAAUACGAGGGGGGCAAGCGUUGUUCGGAAUUAUUGGGCGUAAAGGGAGCGUAGGCGGUUUUGUAAGUCGUGUGUGAAAUCUUCAGGCUCAACCUGAAGUCUGCACACGAAACUGCAGGGCUUGAGUAUGGGAGAGGUGAGUGGAAUUCCUGGUGUAGCGGUGAAAUGCGUAGAUAUCAGGAGGAACACCUGUGGCGAAAGCGGCUCACUGGACCAUUACUGACGCUGAGGCUCGAAAGCGUGGGGAGCGAACAGGAUUAGAUACCCCUGUAGUCCCUGUCUCUUAUAC